This 24-nucleotide non-coding RNA is filed under the name Arabidopsis thaliana (thale cress). The record is from RNAcentral. Lineage: Eukaryota; Viridiplantae; Streptophyta; Magnoliopsida; Brassicales; Brassicaceae.
UACGAUUGUAGUGACGACAAUACG